This 200-nucleotide ribosomal RNA is filed under the name uncultured bacterium. RNAcentral describes it as "partial 16S ribosomal RNA". It matches the Rfam family "Bacterial small subunit ribosomal RNA", at positions 8 to 228 of the family's 1533-position model. The record is from RNAcentral.
AGAGUUUGAUCCUGGCUCAGGAUGAACGCUGGCGGCGUGCCUUAGGCAUGCAAGUCGAACGGGAGCAGUAAUGCUUCAGUGGCAGACGGGUGAGUAACGCGUAGGAAUCUACCUCUGGGUAGGGCAUAGCUGGCCGAAAGGUCAGGUAAUUCCCUAUAGUCCCGCAAGGGUAAAGGACUUAACGGUCCGCCGAGAGAGGA